CCUACGGGGUGCAGCAGUGGGGAAUUUUGCACAAUGGGGGAAACCCUGAUGCAGCGACGCCGCGUGAUUUAGAAGGCCUUCGGGUUGUAAAAAUCUUUUGUAUAGGAAGAAAAUGACAGUACUAUACGAAUAAGGUCCGGCUAAUUACGUGCCAGCAGCCGCGGUAAUACGUAAGGACCGAGCGUUGUCCGGAAUCAUUGGGCGUAAAGGGUACGUAGGCGGGCGCUUAAGUUAGAAGUGAAAGGCUAUAGCUCAACUAUAGUAAGCUUCUAAAACUGUGCGUCUUGAGAGAUGGAAGGGAAAGUGGAAUUCCUAGUGUAGCGGUGGAAUGCGCAGAUAUUAGGAGGAAUACCGGUGGCGAAGGCGACUUUCUGGCCAUUUUCUGACGCUGAGGUACGAAAGCGUGGGUAGCAAGCAGGAUUAGAUACCCGAGUAGUC
RNAcentral lists this ribosomal RNA (438 nucleotides) under uncultured bacterium. RNAcentral's name for it is "bacterial SSU rRNA". It matches the Rfam family "Bacterial small subunit ribosomal RNA", at positions 338 to 795 of the family's 1533-position model. The record is from RNAcentral.